GACGAACGCUGGCGGCGUGCUUAACACAUGCAAGUCGAACGGAAAGGCCCUUCGGGGUACUCGAGUGGCGAACGGGUGAGUAACACGUGGGUGAUCUGCCCUGCACUUUGGGAUAAGCCUGGGAAACUGGGUCUAAUACCGAAUAGGACCACGCGCUUCAUGGUGUGUGGUGGAAAGCUUUUGCGGUGUGGGAUGGGCCCGCGGCCUAUCAGCUUGUUGGUGGGGUAAUGGCCUACCAAGGCGACGACGGGUAGCCGGCCUGAGAGGGUGACCGGCCACACUGGGACUGAGAUAUGGCCCAGACUCCUACGGGAGGCAGCAGUGGGGAAUAUUGCACAAUGGGCGCAAGCCUGAUGCAGCGACGCCGCGUGAGGGAUGACGGCCUUCGGGUUGUAAACCUCUUUCACCAGGGACGAAGCGUAAGUGACGGUACCUGGAGAAGAAGCACCGGCCAACUACGUG
Molecule: ribosomal RNA, 462 nt
Filed under: uncultured bacterium
Lineage: Bacteria
Description: partial 16S ribosomal RNA
Rfam family: Bacterial small subunit ribosomal RNA
Source: RNAcentral